RNAcentral lists this ribosomal RNA (252 nucleotides) under uncultured Psychrilyobacter sp. RNAcentral describes it as "partial 16S ribosomal RNA". It matches the Rfam family "Bacterial small subunit ribosomal RNA", at positions 524 to 776 of the family's 1533-position model. Lineage: Bacteria; Fusobacteriati; Fusobacteriota; Fusobacteriia; Fusobacteriales; Fusobacteriaceae. The record is from RNAcentral.
UACGUAUGUCGCAAGCGUUAUCCGGAAUUAUUGGGCGUAAAGCGAGUCUAGGCGGCUUGUUAAGUCAGAUGUGAAAAUGCGGGGCUCAACUCCGUAUUGCGUUUGAUACUGGCAGGCUAGAGUACUGGAGAGGUGGGCGGAACUACAAGUGUAGAGGUGAAAUUCGUAGAUAUUUGUAGGAAUGCCGAUAGUGAAGACAGCUCACUGGACAGAUACUGACGCUAAAGCUCGAAAGCGUGGGGAGCAAACAGG